AACGAACGCUGGCGGCAGGCUUAACACAUGCAAGUCGAACGCACCUUUCGGGGUGAGUGGCAGACGGGUGAGUAACGCGUGGGAAUCUACCCUUCUCUACGGGAUAGCUCCGGGAAACUGGAAUUAAUACCGUAUACGUCCUGAGGGAGAAAGAUUUAUCGGGGAAGGAUGAGCCCGCGUUGGAUUAGCUAGUUGGUGGGGUAAAGGCCUACCAAGGCGACGAUCCAUAGCUGGUCUAAGAGGAUGAUCAGCCACAUUGGGACUGAGACACGGCCCAAACUCCUACGGGAGGCAGCAGUGGGGAAUAUUUGACAAUGGGCGCAAGCCUGAUCCAGCCAUGCCGCGGGAGGUAUGAAGGCCCUAGGGUUGUAAAGCUCUUUCAGUGGGGACGAUAAUGACGGUACCCACAGAAGAAGCCCCGGCUAACUUCGUU
RNAcentral lists this ribosomal RNA (433 nucleotides) under uncultured bacterium. RNAcentral describes it as "partial 16S ribosomal RNA". It matches the Rfam family "Bacterial small subunit ribosomal RNA", at positions 29 to 507 of the family's 1533-position model. The record is from RNAcentral.